AAGGGCCUGAAACCAAUGGACCACAAUGGACUUGCAGACCCAUAUGUUAAAUUACAUUUACUACCAGGUGCUAGUAAGGUAAAUAUUUUAUUUUUCAUAUUAGAACCAAUUUCUGAAUAAAUAUGAAUACAUUUUCUUAAUUCUAUUGCCUUGAUACAAAUAAAAAAAAUCUGAAUAUUUUUAAAAUUACAGAACUUUAUGUCAAGAGGUCUAAAUGUGUUGCUGUUCUGUACAGUGAUUGCAACAAUACACAUUGCUAUGAAAUUUCAAUGUUUAGAAAACUUUUCAAUAUGUUUCCAGCUUUUGUGCCAUAUCUCACUGUGGAGUGUUUGCUUUGUUUUAAGGAACAAAUUAAACACCCUUAAUAUAACAAGUCGUAAAAAAUCACAAAAUGUAUUAUUUUUGCAAACAUUAUUAUGUAAUUCUUUACCAUUUUGAGUUAUGAAAUCAUUAAAUACAACAUAUUCAACGGAGUUAAAGAAACAAAGGUUUUGGCAUAUUAAUUGCCACAACCUUAAAGUAACACUCAAAACACCAAAACUACUACAGUGUACUGUAGUGGUUAUGAUACCAGGAUUGCCCUUGAACCCUCCCAAUCUAAGUAGUCCGUUUACUAAUAGCUUGAUGUCUUACCUGGAGUCUGCCAAGCACAGCUUCCUGCCUCACUGCAUUUGGCCAUCAUAGCAGGAACUUUUGACUUUCUAUACUGGAACAGAAGGGUCAAAGAGUGGCUCCUGGUGGACCCCAGGUAACCAGUCAAACCAUUAGCAUACAGUUUGACGAGUUACAUGGGGGCGCCAAGUCAUCAGUGGCAUCAGUGAGCUUCUACAAAGAGUUGUACAUACUGUCAGAAUAUAUAUAAUAAAUAUUAUAUAUAUUUAUAUAUUUUUUUUAUCUUUAUAUACUUUUUUUAUUUAUAUAUUUGUAUAUUUAUAUAUUAUAUAUAUAUAUAUAAAUAUAUAUAUAUAUAUAUAUAUACAUAUUCAAUUAGUUUAUCUUGUCAUAUAGGUUCUGCCAAACAAUUGUUAGCAAAUAUAUACCGUAUUUAUCGGCGUAUAACACGCACCGUAGGAAAAAUAAAAUUAUCCAUCCAGGUCUGAAUGAAAAUGAAACUCCACUUUUCUGGGAAUUACAUAGUUACAUAGCUGAAAAGUUCAGCCUUCCUCACAUUUAAUUUUUUGCGGUUGAUCCAAAAGAAGGCAAAAAAAAAACAAAACAAUUUAAAGCACUUCCAAUUUUGCAGCAAACUAGGAAAAAAUUCCUUCUUGACCCCAGAAUGGCAGUCAUAUUUAUCCUUGUAUCAAGAAGCUAUUACCCUGCAUUGAAAAAUUGUAUCCUUGAGUAUUCUGUUUUUGCAAAUAUGCAUCUAGUUGCUGUUUGAACAUCUGUAUGGACUCUGAUAAAACCACUUCUUCAGGCAGAGAAUUCCACAUCGUUAUUGUUCUUACAGUAAAAAAAAACUUUUAUUUGCCUUCGACGAAAUCUUCUUUCUUCCAGUCUAAUCGGAUGACCAUGUGUCCUAUGUUAAGUCCGGUUUGUGAAUAGAUUUCCACACAAUGGUUUGUAUUGGUCCCGAAUAUAUUUGUAUAAUGUUAUCAUAUCCCCUCUCAGGCGACUUUUUCUAAACUAAAGAGGUUUAAAUUUUGUCUUCAUAGCUGAUAGGUUCCAUUCCUUUUAUUAAUUUUGUAGCCCGCCUCUAAUAUCCUUUUUUAGAACAGGUGCCCCAAAUUGCACAGCAUAUUCAAUGUGUGGUCUUACCAAUGAUUUAUAAAGAGGCAAAAUGAUAUUCUCAUCCUGAGAAUGAAUGCCCUUUUUCAUUACCUUACUGGCCUUAGCCACUGCUGAUUGACAUGGCACAUUGUUGCAUAGUUUGUUGUCUAUAACAAUUCACAAGUCCAUUUCGUGUGUUGUUAUUCAUAAUUUGAUUCCAUUAAGGGUAUACGUUGCUUGUGCAUUCUUUACACCGAAGUGCAUAACUUUGCAUUUUUCAACAUUUGAGUGCCCAGUCCCCUAGUCUAUCUAAAUCCCUCUGCAGCAAAGUAAUAUCUUACUCACAUUGUAUUAUUUUACAGAGUUUUGUGUUAUCUGCAAACACUGUAACAUGACUUACAUGCCUUUUUCAAGAUCAUUUAUAAAUAUGUUAAAUAUAAUGGGUCCCAAAACAGAACCCUGAGGGUCAUCACUUGCCACCUCUGUCCAGCUUGAAAAUUUACCACAACUCUUUGUACUCUAUUUUUAAGCCAAUGUUCUACCUAAGAACAAGCAUUUUCGUCUAAACCGAUUUCUUUGAGUUUGAACACUAAUCUAUUGUGUGGAACUGUAUCAAAUGCCUUGCAAAAUCCAAAUAGAUCAUAUCCACUGCAACACUCUGAUCUAUACUUCUAUUUACAUCUUUGUAGAAUGCUGUCAAGUUAGUUUGACAUGACCUGUGCUUCAUAAAACCAUGCUGAUUUUUGCUGAUAACCAUGUUCUUAUCAAAGAAUUCUUGAACAUUAUCCCUUAAUAACCUUUCAAAUACUUUUCCAGCCACAGAAGUUAAGCUCACAGGUCUAUAGUUUUCAGGCAAGGAUUUUAAAACCUUUUUUAAUAUAGGAACCACAUCUGCUUUCCUCCAAUCCUCCGGAACACUUCCUGAAAGAAAAGAAUCUUGAAAGCUUAAAAACAGAAGCUCACUUAUUUCUACACUUAGUUCCCUAAGUACUCGUGGAUGGAUACCAUCAGGCCCUGAAGCUUUGUUUAUAUUAACUUUCUUAGUUGCUGCAGAACCUUGUCUUGAGUUAACCAAUUACAAUUUUUCUGCACGUUUUUAGCAGCAAUCAUUUGUACAUUUAUCGCCAUGGGUUCUUCCUUAGUAUACACAGAAGAGAAAUAGUUAUUUCAAAUUUCUGCCUUUUCCUGGUCUUCAUUAACUAACACCCCAUUUCAGUUUUUAGUGUACCUACACUUUAAUUUUGUGUUUUUUUUAGAAUUUAUGUACUUAAGGAAUGCUCUGGGGUUGGUUUUGCUCUCUUUGGAUAUAAUUUUUUUCAUUUUGAAGUUUAGCUAAUCUAAUCGCCUUUUUGCACGCAUUAUUGGCUUCCUUAUAUCUUUUAUAGGAUGCAUAUGAUUUGUCCUAUUUAAAUGCUUUAAAUGCCCGUUUCUUAUUUUUAAUCUCUGGUUUUACUUCUCUACUAAGCCACAUUGGUUUCAAUUUGUUUCUUUUAUACUUAUUACCCAAUGGUACAUACUGAGAAAUGUACCUUAGUAAUAUUUGUUGGAAGAUGAUCCAUUUAUCCUCAGUGUUCUUUUCACUAAAGAGUUUAUGCCAGUCAAUAUAUUGUAAAUCUGCCCUCAACUUAUAGAAAUUGGCCUUUUUAAAAUUUUAUGUUUUAGUAUAUCCCAUGUGCUUUUGUUUUUUUGUUUUUUAGUUUAUUUCAAAGGACACUAUAUUGUGAUCACUAUUUCCCAAGUGCUCACCUACUUGAAUGUUGGUCAAAAGAUCAACAUUGUUUGUUAGAACCAAGUCCAGACAUGCUUCAUUUCUAGUUGGUGCUUGUAAAAGUUGUGACAUGAAGGUGCCAUUUAACAAGUUCAAAAACCUAAUUCCCUUUGCUGAGCUACUAGUCCCUCUGUCCCAAUUUAUGUCCCGGUAAUUAAAAUCUCCAAUAAUUAAAGGGAUUCACCAUUGCCAGGAAAAUAUAUUUGUUUUCCUGGCACUGCAGGUUCCCGCAGUGCCCCUCUCCUUCCCACCCCCCAUCCCAAGUUGCUUCCCCUUCAGUGACUUACCGGAGUCCAGCGCUGAUGUCCUUGGCGCUGGGUCAGGCUCCACCUACUCUCCUCCCCCGCUGACGUCAGCUGGCUUGGGAGACCUAAUACGCAUGUGCGGCAAUGGCCGCGCAUGUGCAUUAGACCUCCCCAUAGCAAAGCAUUUUUCAGUGCUUUCCUAUGGGGAUUUUGGCAAUGCUGGAGGUCCUCACAUAGCGUGAGGACGUCCAGCAACGCAGAAAUCACUUUUCGUGUGCUAAGAACACGGAAGUCCCUCUUGUGGCUGUCUAGUUGACAGCCACUAGAGGAGGACUUAACCCCGCAAUGAAAAUAUUGCAGUUUAUGAAAACUGCAAUAAUUACACUUGCAGGGUUAAGUGUAGUGGGAGUUGGCACCCAGACCACUCCAAUGGGCAGAAGUGGUCUGGGUGCCUGGAGUAUCCCUUUAAAAAGAUUUUCAGCUUUCUCAGUUUGCUCAAACAGCUGUUGUUCCUCGUCAACAUUUACAUUAGGUGGUUUAUAACAUAUCCCAACCAAUAGUUGGUUUCUCUUCUUUUGCCCCAAGCAGAUAUUUACCCAUAAAGCUUCCACAUUUUCCUCAUCACUUUCCACUUGCUUAAGAUUUGGCUUUAACUCAUGGUUGACAUACAAACAUACCCGACCACCUUUCCUGUUUUUUCUGUCCUUCCUAAAUAGUGUGUAUCCAUUUAAGCUAACUACCCAGUCAUGUGUCUCAUAAUGGAAGACUAGCCUUUAUAUCUUCUCACUAUCUGUCUCUGACCACUGUUUGAGGUGAAACACAUUUUUGUUAACACAUUUGUCCCUUUAGUAUUCACUUCUGCUCUCCUUUGGUCAGGUCCAUGUUGUGGAACUCCAUGGAGCAAACAUUCUCCAUGAUUAUCCAUGAUUGUCCCUACAUGGAUAUCAGUUACACCUUUCAUAAAAAUAUAUAUCACUUUUAGCUUUAAACCCUUAAGGACACAGCUUCAGAAGUAAAAGGUCAGCAUUACGGAAAAUUUCCAUCAUGAGUCAUUGAGGGGUUAAUAAAAGAUACUCAGAUUUAUACUGAAUGCAGUUGAUGGUGUGUUAUUAAAUCUGCUUCAAAGGGACAUUCCAAACACCUAAUGCACUGGAGCUUGCUUUUUGUGCGAAGAGUAUGUCUUCUUCUUUUUUUCAUUUUACAAAAAGUGCAAACUUAAAAAGAAACUGCAACCUUUAUAAAUGAAUAUUAUUACAACUGCCUGGCUGUCAGUCAGACAACUGAUUCUGUUAUUUUCAGGUUGAUUAGUUCAGUCGAGCUAAAUUCAAGACACAAUUUCCCAAAGAAACUGCCUUGCAAAGAAUACUUAUUGAGUUGCAUUGGAAAGUCUGUGAUUGGACAGUCACAGAAAGUCUGGGCGGGGUUAGAAUUGAAGGACUUGAAAAGUCUGCAGACAAAAGAUAUGCAAAUUUUGUGAGCUGUUUUUAGAUAUAACUCCAAUGAAACUAAAUGCAAAAUUAAAUAUAUACAUGUUUUCAUUAGGUUAUAUUUACUAAACAGUGGUAAUAUAAUUUAUUUUUUGAUAUCUUUUAUUUGGGCUGCGUUCUUUUAACCAUGUGGUGUGAACUUGGUGUGAACAUUAUUGUUUUUAAGAUUAACGGAAAUAUUUUUGCAAAAUGUGUAUAGUCUAGGCUAAAUUAUAAAUAAAUAAAAUGAACAAGUGAAUGGAAAUAUAAAAAAUGGAUAAAUGAUUGCAGACAGGUAACAGGAAUUGUAACAGCCAAUACUUGAUGGACUUAGGUUUUCACUGUGAAUGAUUGUGUUACUUUGUGUUGAUUGCUAAAUUAUCCAUCAAGGUAAAACUGGAGGGUAAAGUGAUAAAUGUGGAGACAAUUUAUAUUGACUUCUAUGGCGACUGAUUCUUAUUCACCACUCUAUUACCUAUUUGGACUUAAGUCUCCUCUCUUCUGAUCUGUAAGAAAGCAGCUACAGUGCCAUCUAGUGUUUAUGCACCGUGUUUCACAUUAUAAAUCCAACCUUUGGUUCAUAGAAAAAAUGUUUUUUUUCCAAAGUGUAGAAAGAUUAGUUUAUUUGUAAAUGAACCUCAAGUUUAAAGAGCUAAACACUUUAAUUAUUUGUUCAUGUUAUAACUGUUAUACCUUAUGCCUCUAUUUCUUAUUAAAUGUCUCCUGCUGCCAAUCUCAUUUCUUAGCAAUCAAGUUCACUCACUUCCUCUCUACCCAUACACAAAGUGGCUUGUAGCGUUCUGCUGUUACCUUGACAUCAAAGUGAAAGAGUGCAAUCAAAUAACCUUAUGGCCAGUGGUAAGAGACAGGGAGGAGGAAUAAACAUAACAAAAUCAUAAUAAAAGAAUGAUAAAAUGUAGAGCUGCCCUUCAGAUCACAGCCACUAUCCCAUCACACAAAUUUACACACAUACUUCAUCCACUAUACACAAACACUGCUUCUACUAAACACGUACACAUACACUGUGUCCACUAUACACACAAACACUGCAUCCCCUACACACAUUGCAUUUUUUACACUCACACUACAUACCCUACACACAUACACUAUAUUCUAUAAGUGGGAUUGCCAUAUUUAAGGACAGCAAAACAGGGAGCUAUCUACUAAACACAGGUCCCUUCCUAAUCUGGUAUCAUUAAAUAUGGCAUGUAUAUAUGUAUAAAAAGAUGUAUGUGCUGAAUUUAUACAGAAUGUAUAUUCUACAUGUAUAGAGAACAUAUACGCUGCAUGUAGGGGCAUUACUAGGGUCAAAAAACACCCUUGGCUUAAGCCCUGAAAUAAUUUGGUGACACCUUCCCAAACUCCAACUUUCCCUCUCCACAAAUCCAUUACUUAACACACUUCUCAGCACACUUUCAAUUACUUGCAGACUCACACAGAUACUCAUAAACACACUUAGACACAGGUGGGUAAACACAGACAUGCACAAGCACACACAGGCACUGACACACACACAGAUAGGCACAGACACAUGCACAUACACAGGCAGGCAUACAUAGGCCAGAUAGGUCCACAGAGAGAGAGAGAGACAUCGGCAGGUGCACACAAAGAGACAGGAAUACACAGGCACACACAGACAGGUACACAUUGUCACACAUACACAGGUACAUACAGACACAGACAGGUAUACACAAGCAUAUACAGACACAGACAGACACACACAGCUAUAGGCAAGCAGACACAGUUGCACACAGACAUAGACAGACACACAGAGCCACUGGUAAGCACAGGUAUAAAUAGGCAUAGACAGAAAUAGUCAGGUACACAAAGACACAGUCAAACACACAAUCUUACCAGAAUGUACAUAUUUGUGUACCACAGAACUCCACAGCUGUGUGUAAAUAGAUCUUUGUCUUGUGUUUGUGGAGUAGUACGUGUGUCUAGGCACUGUAGAUUGAGAUUUAAUUCAGUGCCUGUGUAUAGGGGACGCAGUGUUUGUAUAGGAUGGUGUGUUUAAAUUAUGCAGUGUGUUUAGGGGAUGUAGUGUGUGUUUGCUGGUGAGGAUGUGUAUGUAGGUGGUGUAGUAUGAUAUAUGUAUAAAACCCACAGCGACUGCCUGGAGCUCACAGGAACCUCUAUACCAGUUCUGCACCUGGCAGAGUGAUGUGUGAGCAGAGGCUCUCUGGGCUCCCCUUUCCCCAUAUAAUCUGGGUAUUUGGUAGGUGAGGAAAAUCUCUGAUCUCCCCAGCAGCCUUUAGAGGCACCCCUUUGCAUGGACAGUAGUUAGGGUUGCCAAUCCUGCAGAGUGGGGGGGAGACCAGGGGUUAUAGAGCUCCAUUUUUGGGGCACUAGCCCCCCCCCCCCGACUCCCCUGGCUACAUGUAUAUAGAGUGCAUGUGCUGCAUGUAUGCAUAAUGGAAAUGCAGCAUGUGUAUAGAAUUCAUAUGCUGCAUGUAUAUAGAUUGUGUGUGCUGCAUGUAAAUAGAAUAUAUUUGCAGUAUGUUUAUAGAAUGUAUGUGCUACAUGUAUAUAGAAUGCACAGGAUACAAAAUUAAGGAUACAAAAUUAUAUAUAUACACAGGAUACAAAAUUAACCUACCUACUAAAAUUAGCUUUCUACUAAACAGUUAAAAGAGAAAAACAACUCAAAUUUGUUUUUCUGAAUUUUGCUAUUUCCGUUGCUUAGUAGAUACGUCCCUAAAUUGAUGCCUUUAUUAUGUUAAUCCCAAGUAAGAAUACCAAAUUAUGGAGAUAUCUACUAAACAGCUAAAAGAUUAGCAUUAAGAAAAGCCAUUUUUCUUAAUUUUGCUCUUUCAGUUGCUUAGUAUAUAAAUCCCUAAUUUGCUAUCUCUAUGAAAACAAUUGGAUCCAAAAUAAUCUGUUUCAAUUGGUUCCAAAUUUGUUAAUUUUAGGUUCUAUCAAUUUGUAAAUGUGGACGCUUUUUUUUGCCAAAUUCGGACAAAUAGGAUUCAGAACAAACCAAAUUUCUCUUGUCUACCGUUCACUAUUCCUAGAAUGUCAGAACCUUUGGGGAAACUGGGCUUAUAAGCUUUGUAGUAUUUUAAGACAAUUAUGCAUGCCCUAUUCUUUGGGAUCUUAUGUACACACUUUGAAGAUUAUGUCAUCAUAUUCCUCCAUUAAAGCAAACUCUUACCAGUGAUUUGACAUGGACAUUAGCCUAGACAUGUCUGAAGUUCCUAAUUUAUAGAUUGUCCAUCUGUACAUAUACUAGCAUAGUGUCCUGAGUUUUACAUUUUCAACAUUUGUUCAUCAAUUUACUAUUUUCUUCUUUUGAGUGUGUUUGCUAUGACGUCUUACUUAGUAACCUCUCUCCCUGAAUUGCACCAUGUUAAUGUACUAGUUCCAAUGUAGUUUCACUACACUCUAAUUACUCUGUUCUUUUACAUAUCUUUUUUGUAUUAUAUUUUGUAUUUUACAAUUAAAUGUACAUCUUUUUAAAUAGGUUCAUUAAAACUUGUUUAUUGAUGUCAAUGCUAUUUUAUGUGUUUUUUAAAUAUCAACAAUUGAGUCUCAAAUUAGAUUUUUGGAACCUUGAGGUUUUUUGUUUUUUUACUUUAUUCUAUUUUCAUGUAGUUAUAAACUCAGAGAACUCAAUAAAUAUUUACAAAGAAAACUAAUCAGGAACCGAAGCUCCUACAAGUGGAAAGUAAUUAUCCAAAGAGUCAUUCAAGGUAGAAUUUUACGUGUUACUUGUUUACAAAAAUGUGAACAUCUAUAGUAAGCCUGAUCAAUUCAUGAUAAACAAAUUUAGGCAUAAAAAGUGGGGGGAAAGAAGGAUUCUGCUGUUCACUAUUGUCUGGCAAGCAUAAAAAUAAAAAAAAGCAUAUUCCCAGCACUCCCAACCAGUCAACACACCAAGGUUGGAUGAAUUUGAUACUGACAAUGUGGAAGUUUUAUCAAUAUAGCCGUGAUGGAGCGGGCCCUGGUGCCAGGAAGACCCCUUGGUGUAUCUCAAAUUAUAAUUUUUUUCCCAAUUGACAAUUUUUAUUAAGGUUUUGUGUGAGUACAGAAUGAAGAAGAGGGGGGUGGAUUAGCAGUGUCAUUGUAUACAGCAUAACAAAGAAGCACAAUAACUGUAAUACACUUGCAUGUAAUUGUUACAGAAUUUUCAAUACAUUUUUUUAACUUUACAUAGUUAUUUUGCAUUUCUUAUAUAUUUGGUACAUUAUCUGAUUCAGUAUGCCCUAUAAGGUUGCUAGACUGUCUUGAAGUGCGCCUUCCGUGUCCUGUUAUAGGAUAUUCACUGUUGUGAAGUGUGUACCACCUGUAUGUCUUUGCACCCAGAGUGCGCCUCAACAAUCUAACAGGGCGCGUAUAUGGUACCCUUGUCAGCUGACAAUGAUCACUGACUCCACCGAGGUGACACUUAGCUGUUCCCUUAGACGGCUGCUACGCCGCAUUAUGCUGCCUGGAAAGAGGAGAAUGGGGGGAGGGGUUGGAGAGGGUAAACGUCAGCUGCAGUGUUCCAGUUACUCCUGUCAGGUUUCCAUCCUGUGGCAGAGCAGGUCACCUUUAUUCUCCUGUACAGAAACUCCUGGUUGUCCCAGCUCUAAUGUGUGUGUUUUUUUUUUUUUUCAUAUAUUCAUAGGUAUUAUACUAAUGCUUGUGUUGUGCCCCUGUUUGGUGAGUCCCCUAGUCUGGGCACUCUGUGUCAAUGUGAGUCUCUGUGGUGCCUUAACUGGAUGUGUAAUUAUCCCAUAAUAUCUUGGCCUCUAAAGUAUCAUUAAUAGGAGCUAUAUGGAUGUGUGACGUGGUUUCAUAAUCCCAGUUUGAAUUAACCUGAGCAUGUAUCACCAUUCUGCUUGGUGUCUGGGGUGUCUUCCAUGCACGGGCUAUCAGGGUGUUAGCUGCUAUUAUCACCUGGAAUUUGAUUUUAGAGUGCACUCGGGGUUGAUUUCCCAUGCCCAUUAACAACAGGCAUAUUUCUGGUGUGAGACGCUGUGGGAUCUGCAAGAGGUUCAAGAGAUCUUUCUCGACCACCCUCCAGCAGGGUCGGAUGGCUGGACAGGUCCACUACACAUGCAGUUUCAAAUGAUUCCUGAAUGGUUUUAAAUUUAAACCUUGGAACAGUAAGGAGACACUAAACAACAUAUUCACUACUUUGAUGUGGAGUGGCUUAGAAUGUCUCUUUAAGUGAUCAUGAUGAUUAACUGAGCACACUGCAGACUCGUCAAAGCUUGUGAAUUUACAUCUAAUGCAGGGAAUUUUAUGUAUUUUUUUAUUUUAUUGUUUUGCAUUUGUUUUAUUGCCUUAUAUAUGUAUAUACUCAAGUCUGAAGUGUCACAUUAUCAAUGUAACUGUGUCCUCACAACCAACACAUUUACAGUAGAGCAUGUAAAAUUAUUUUAACAUCAUAAGUAAUUGAAAACCCUUUCUUUUAAUUUUUAUCAUGCAGUUAUAUCACUACAAUAUAUUGGGUUUUUAGGAUAUGAGGAAAAGAACCAUGGCAUACCCAAAUCCUGGUGUCUGUGGAAGCACCAUGGGUUAUUUAAGUGUUCUAUUUAAAAAAACAUGGCUCUAUAGAUAAUAUUUUUCUUCCAACAUUUCUAAUAACUGAGCUAUGAAGUGGUGCUGAAAGGAAAGCUCCCUGGUCAUUAACUAUAUCAUUAACUAUAAAAUAAUCCAACAGUAUCCCAACAGCAAUCCCAAUAACUGGACGACACACAGCAUCAGGAGCAGAACUGAAAACCUUUAUUCCACAGUGGCCUUAUAUAGCAUGCUCCCAUGCAAGGGAGGGACUUUCAUCAAUUAGUACAGUACCCAAUCCAACAAUAGUAACCUCCCACCUAUCUCCUCCCCUCAGCCUGACUCAUAAUCCCCUUAUACUGUACACAAAUUCCCCCAGUUUCUGGAUGUACCCCUAAACCUAGGAGUACCCCUUUAAAUGGCACAUCCCCUGGUAGCCCUGAUCUGGGUGAGCAACAUAUCAAAAAAUCACCCAGAUCGGACCAGGGGUUUGGGAAAUUUAUGGAAGUACUAAAAAGACCGACCACGCUGGAGAGAACAGCCGAAUUGGGUUCCAUGCGAUGGGGCCCUGUGGUUGGUCCCAGUAUAGGGGAAUAAAUUACAUGAAUGGCUAAGGCUACAGAGAUCAGGUAGGGUUCACAUGAAUCCCCUCGUUCGGUUGUUUCUGUCUACCGAACGAGGGGCCGUUCGGUAGUUUGGAACCGAACGGACCGGGCUUGUGGAGGUCUCAGGGGUGUUCGCCUAGUCGAGUGUCCGAUUUGAGUUCCAGACACUCGACGGCAAAACACCGCUGUUCGGGAGUUUUAAAAUGGCCGCCACCACGUGUUCGUUUCCCGAAUGGCGGCCACCCCGCGAACAAAGGACCUACUGCAUAGCUUGUUAAUUACCCGUUCGCAACAUUGUUGCAAUGGGUAAUUGAAGGCACACUUCACACAGGGGAGGUCUGAUUGUUCGGUUUCAUUCCCUUAGUUUAUUCGAAUGAUUCUACCGAACAAUCAGACGAAUACACUUUAUUUCAACACAUACAAAACCAGCAGUUUACACGAAUGCAGUUAAACACAUGUAAUUUUCACUAUCGGGUCUGACCCAGCAAUCUGCUUGUCUGUCUCCCUGUCUAGAAGCUGCUUGUCCCAGACAAAUCUCUCUCCCUCCCCCCGGGUGAGUCAGUGACAACCUUGUCCCUAUAUACUUGCAGCGUAGGUUCGGUUACUACUUCAGCUGCAAAUUCAUUAGGUGGGGCCCAGGGGACACAUUCUAAGGAAGGAGAAGGGUCUCUUAACUGAACUUCCGGGAGUGUGUUGUAGUCCUGGGUGCGGGCCUGUUGUCGGGUGACCACAGGGUGAGCUUCUCCUGUGGUGGGCAUCUGGGGCUCAAAAGCAGACGUGAGCCUCCCCAGAUCAUUCCCCAACAAAACCUCCACCGGUAACUGCGGCAUCAACCCCACCUCCACGUGUCCUGACCCCGCUCCCCAAUGCAAAUGUACCCUUGCUGUAGGUAGCCGGUACACUGCUCCCCCAGCUACCCUGACGGCUACAGUUUUACUGAGCUUAGCCUGAUCCGAAACCAGGUGACUCUUUACCAGGGUGAUAGUAGCUCCUGAGUCAUGUAGUCCUUGGACCGCUUUACCCUCCAAGUAUACCGUCUGUCUAUGGUGCUGACGAUUAUCAGCAUUGGCUUGGACUGGAUCGGCUUCGUGCAAAACUUCCCACUGUUCCACGGUGGUAAUGGGCACUGCUGAACCAUACGGUGUUGCAACUAUGUCCUGGUAGCAGUGGGCUGUGGCCGCUCUUGGUGGUGGUGGUGGGCCUGGUCGGAUCCAGGUGGAACGAUCCCAUAGUUGUGGGCAUUCUCUUUUAUAAUGCCCCCAUUUCUGGCAGUGAUGACAGGGCCCAGAGCUCGGCUGGCGAAACCGUGGCUGUGCAGCGGGCGGUGGUGGCGGUGGUAGUUGCCUGGGUGGUACUGGGGUGUAGUUGGUUCCCCCAAAGGUUUUCCAUGGGGUUUUUGGAACUGCAGGUUUUUGUUGUCUGCGUGCGUCCAUGUACUCAUCUGCCCUUCUAGCUGCUUCUGUGAGGGAGGUAGGGUUUCAGUCCCUUACCCACUCCUGGACAUCUGCUGUCACCCCAUCAUAAAAUUGUUCCAUUAGCAGCAUUUGUAUCACGUCCUCCAUGGAUAUGGAUAUGGUAUUUUAGGCUUACCUUCCUGUGGCACGUUUACUGUAGAGCUGCGUUCUGGGGUUGUUGUUAUCCGUUGCCUCAGUAUGAAUUCCUGGACCUCUGUCAUGGUCCUGGAAAUAAUUUCUGCUGACAGGUGUUCUCCAUAAAAAGACAGCCUAAAUUGUAACUGUCUCUGGAACUCCAUUUGUUCCUGUGUUUCCCCCGAAUCCCCCUGUUUGGGAACCGAACCGCCAUCCAUUCGGUACUCUGCCAUGAGUUCGGUAAUAAGUGCCGCUUUCUUCUUGUUGCUGGCUUGAAUACCCCUUGCCUCUAGGAGGUCCUUUAAUGUGGAGCGUUUUAGUGUAGCAAAAUCAAUCUCCAUCCGUACUCCAUUUGUGCUUGUUCCUCUGUGAGUCUGGAUCCCAGCGCUGCCACCAAUGUAGCGGAGAUACAAUAUUCCACAGAUUAUCUCCGCUUAAGAUCCCAGUGAGGCUCAGGAACAAGUAAUUAUAAAGCCACAGGCAAGGUUUCCAGCAGGUAAAAUAAUCCAACAGUAUCCCAACAGCAAUCCCAAUAACUGGACGACACACAGCAUCAGGAGCAGAACUGAAAACCUUUAUUCCACAGUGGCCUUAUAUAGCAUGCUCCCAUGCAAGGGAGGGACUUUCAUCAAUUAGUACAGUACCUAAUCCAACAAUAGUAACCUCCCACCUAUCUCCUCCCCUCAGCCUGACUCAUAAUCCCAUAUACUGUACACAAAUUCCCCCAGUUUCUGGAUGUACCCCUAAACCUAGGGGUACCCCUUUAAAUGGCACAUCCCCUGAUAGCCCUGAUCUGGGUGAGCAACAUAUCCAAAAAUCACCCAGAUCGGACCAGGGGUUCGGGAAAUUUAUGGAAGUACUAAAAAGACCGGCCGCGCUGGAGAGAACAGCCAAAUUGGGUUCCAUGCGAUGGGGCCUUGCGGUCGUUCCCAGUAUAAGGGAAUAAAUUACAUGAAAGGCUAAGGCUACAGAGAUCAGGUAGGGUUCGCAUGAAUCCACUCGUUCGGUUGUUGCGACUACCGAACGAGGGGCCGUUCGGUAGUCUGGAACCGAACGGACCGGGCUUGUGGAGGUCUCAGCAGUGUUCGCCUAGUCGAGUGUCCGAUUUGAGUUCCAGACACUCGACGGCAAAACACCGCUGUUCAGGAGUUUUAAAAUGGCCGCCACCACGUGUUCGUUUCCUGAAUGGCGGCCACCCCGCGAACAAAGGAUCUACUGCAUAGCUUGUUAAUUACCUGUUCGCAACAUUGUUGCAACGGGUAAUUGAAGGCACACUUCAAACAGGGGAGGUCUGAUUGUUCGGUAGUUUCAUUCCCUUAGUUUAUUCGAAUGAUUCUACCGAACAAUCAGACGAAUACACUUUAUUUCAACACAUACAAAACCAGCAGUUUACACAAAUGCAGUUAAACACAUGUAAUUUUCAGGACAGCCCAGUGCCAUCCACUACAAUAUAUAUAUGCAUAUCUCUACAUAUAUAUAUAUAUUUAAAUUCGACAAAUAUAUUUAUAUAAUAUUUUUACAUAAUCAAGUCAUUUUAUUAAUUACAAUCUGAGGGGCCUGCCCGAGAACCCAGGCAGAAAGUCCAGAGAAUUUGGCUUGCAAAGCCCUAUAUUUAACACUGUAACUUUCUAGGACACCAUUAAACCUGUACAUAAGGGGGACUGUUUUACUUGGGAGAUUCAGCUGAACACAUAUAUUAGCGUUUAAAAACAGUAAAACAUAUCACAACGAUGAUAUCGUCAGUAAAAAAUCUGUUUUUUGCAUUUGUCACACACAAAAAGUACUUUCACUGACGGUAUAAUUGUUUUGAUACAUUUUACUAAAUUCAAACACUAAUAUUUGUGUUUGGAGAAGCCCCCCAAGUAUAACAGUGCUCCCCAUAUACAGGUUUUAUGGUGUUUUCAAAAGUUACUGAAGUUACUAAAGGCUUGAAUUUCCUUUUUUUCACAUUGAAAUUUGUCCGAUGUUAUGUUGCCUUUGAGACCGUAUGAUAGUCCAGGAAUGAGAAUUACCCCCAUGAUGGCAUACCAUUUGCAAAAGUAGACAACCCAAGGUAUUGCAAAUGGGGUAUGUCCAGUCUUUUUUAGUAGCCACUUAGUCACAAACACUGGCCAAAAUUAGUGUUCAGUUUAGUUGUUUUGCAUUUUUCACACACAAACAAAUAUGAACGCUAACUUUGGCCAGUGUUUGUGACUAAGUGGCUACUAAAAAAGACUGGACAUACCCCAUUUGUAAUACUUUGGGUUGUCUACUUUUGCAAAUGGUAUGCCAUCAUGGGGGUAAUUUUCAUUCCUGGGCUACCAUUUGGUCUCAAAGGCAACAUAACCAGUCUGGCAAAUUUCAAUGUGUAUAAACUGAAAAAAUGUAAUGUGCUACAUUUGACCCUGUAACUUUCAAAAACACCAUAAAACCUGUACAUUGGUGGUACUGUUUUACCCGUGUAAACAAAUAUGUGUCCUUUAUUGAAGUAACAGCUAACAGUAUUGUGACAUUCACAGUUAACAUGCCAUGCAAAACUAGAAAAAAAACACAAUUUCUUAAUGUCUCAUUUUUAAAAAUGAUUUAUUCAUAUUAAAUUAUGUUUAAUAUACAAAUAUUUGAUGUGACAUAAAGGCCCUGUUUCUCCUGAACAAAAUUUUAUAUGAUAAGUGUGGGUGCACAUAAUAUGAAAGAGGUGAGUUACUCCUGAACAGACAUAUAGCGCAAAUUCAAGGUUUUGUUUACAUUUUGUUUUGAUCACAACUUGUACAAUUGGCUCAGUCCUUAACCCCCUAAGGACGGUGGGCGUUCUAUGCCGUCCUUUUUUGGGCAGUCCUAAAUGCCGGAGGGCAGCAUAGAAUGUUCCCGCCGUCCAGGGGACUUACCAGGUCCCCGCCGUUCUCACGACGGCGGUCGCGAUCCGGGGGGCUGCCUGGGAGCUCAGGCAGCCCCCUUCUGCACGAUCCGGCCAUCCAGGGCCAUGUGAUCAUUGGGUCCUUGCGAUCACAUGGCCGGGAUAGCAGGCUCAUGCAAUGCCAGCUAACAGUAUUUUGACAUUCCCAGUUAAAAUGCCAUGCAGUACUAAAGAAAUAAAAAAAUAAAAAAUCUUAAUUUUUCACAAGUCCUGUUUCUCCUGAACAAAAAGAUAUAUAAUAAGUGUGGGUGCAUUUAAUAUGAAAGAGGCGAAUUAUGGUUGGACAGACAUAUAGCGCAGAUUUCAGGUUUUGUUUACAUUUUUUGUUUUAAUCACAACUUGUACAACUGGCUCAGUCCUUAAGGGGUUAAUAAUACAUUUUAUUAUGUAUGUACACUAUCAUCAACUAACACCAUGGGAGGCAUUUUUAUCACUGUGCAUUCACAAAAGUUUGCAACGUUCAUAGGGUGAAUAUAUAGUAUAUUAAGAACCAAUGUUAUGUAAUUCUGAUUUUUUACUGAUUUAUUUUUACCCACUAUGUUUCUAUAAUGAAGAGGUUCUUGCCCACAAUUAAGAUGAACAUCGGAUCAACAAGGAGGACUUUCGAUGAUUUAGCCCACAUUGAAGAUGGCCAUUGGAUGAUCAAGGAAUAUUGUACUAACAGCAUCAAGACAAUGGGAAAAGGAAAUAAUUGACCCCUCACUACUUC
Molecule: long non-coding RNA, 16472 nt
Filed under: Pelobates cultripes (western spadefoot toad)
Lineage: Eukaryota; Metazoa; Chordata; Amphibia; Anura; Pelobatidae
Source: RNAcentral